UGCAGUGCUGCUGUGUAUUUCAGUGGAGUGGCCGGCCAGAAAGCGGAUUUCCUCUUAUCUCGAUUCCGCAAAGAAAACGUGACGCUGUCCGAAGGAAGCAAUAGCUUCAUGACAUUGGUCGCAAGGAUUCAUUUCCACAAAGGGUUUAUUGAGCUGAAAAGCAGGAUUCUCCUGAGUCACUAACUAGCUGUUUCCCAGGUCUGUUUGAGGCAGUAAAAAUCAUAGGAAACUUCUGUAGCAACAAACAAGCAGUACUCGCAACUUGCAUUAAUGAAUCCCAACUUGAAGAACCAGCUCGCCUGGUGUAGAGCAGCGGUUAAGAUGAUCGCCUUCGACGCCGAGACUGGAAGGUGAGGCGGGUUCGAAUCCCCACACUGACUGUGCUGUUUGAGGUUUUCCCUGGGUUUUCCGGCAGACUUCCGUGACGAAUGUCGACACAGUUCCUCCUGAAGUCGUCCCAGGACGGCUUCAGUAAUAAAACGUAAUAAAACACGGAAUCAAAAACUUGAAUAAAAUUUGUUCAAAGUG
Molecule: long non-coding RNA, 528 nt
Organism: Ornithodoros turicata
Lineage: Eukaryota; Metazoa; Arthropoda; Arachnida; Ixodida; Argasidae
Exons: 3
Source: RefSeq, a predicted model, not a curated record